GGGUUGUGAGGUUAAGCGACUAAGCGUACACGGUGGAUGCCCUGGCAGUCAGAGGCGAUGAAGGACGUGCUAAUCUGCGAUAAGCGCCGGUAAGGUGAUAUGAACCGUUAUAACCGGCGAUUUCCGAAUGGGGAAACCCAGUGUGAUUCGUCACACUAUCAUUAACUGAAUCCAUAGGUUAAUGAGGCGAACCGGGGGAACUGAAACAUCUAAGUACCCCGAGGAAAAGAAAUCAACCGAGAUUCCCCCAGUAGCGGCGAGCGAACGGGGAGGAGCCCAGAGCCUGAAUCAGCAUGUGUGUUAGUGGAAGCGUCUGGAAAGGCGCGCGAUACAGGGUGACAGCCCCGUACACAAAAGCGCAUGUGCUGUGAGCUCGAUGAGUAGGGCGGGACACGUGGUAUCCUGUCUGAAUAUGGGGGGACCAUCCUCCAAGGCUAAAUACUCCUGACUGACCGAUAGUGAACCAGUACCGUGAGGGAAAGGCGAAAAGAACCCCGGCGAGGGGAGUGAAAAAGAACCUGAAACCGUGUACGUACAAGCAGUGGGAGCCCCACCACCAAAGCAUUUGCUGUACCAUGUUGACGGAGCGAAGCGACGUCAAACCGAUAAAACAGCAGUGUAAAGUGAGCCGCAGGGCGCUUUGCGCGACAGCGCAAAGGCAGGCGGUUUCGCGUAGCGAAAGCGAAUGCUUUGGGGUGGGGUGACUGCGUACCUUUUGUAUAAUGGGUCAGCGACUUAUAUUCUGUAGCAAGGUUAACCGAAUAGGGGAGCCGGAGGGAAACCGAGUCUUAACCGGGCGUUAAGUUGCAGGGUAUAGACCCGAAACCCGGUGAUCUAGCCAUGGGCAGGUUGAAGGUUGGGUAACACUAACUGGAGGACCGAACCGACUAAUGUUGAAAAAUUAGCGGAUGACCUGUGGCUGGGGGUGAAAGGCCAAUCAAACCGGGAGAUAGCUGGUUCUCCCCGAAAGCUAUUUAGGUAGCGCCUCGUGAAUUCAUCUCCGGGGGUAGAGCACUGUUUCGGCUAGGGGGCCAUCCCGGCUUACCAACCCGAUGCAAACUGCGAAUACCGGAGAAUGUUAUCACGGGAGACACACGGCGGGUGCUAACGUCCGUCGUGAAGAGGGAAACAACCCAGACCGCCAGCUAAGGUCCCAAAGUCAUGGUUAAGUGGGAAACGAUGUGGGAAGGCCCAGACAGCCAGGAUGUUGGCUUAGAAGCAGCCAUCAUUUAAAGAAAGCGUAAUAGCUCACUGGUCGAGUCGGCCUGCGCGGAAGAUGUAACGGGGCUAAACCAUGCACCGAAGCUGCGGCAGCGAACGUAUCACUUAAAGCGAUUCAGCGGGUUACGAUUGACGGAGCGAAGCGACGUCAAAGCGUAUACAAAGUCGAGUCGGUUUAAGGAUACGUUCGUUGGGUAGGGGAGCGUUCUGUAAGCCUGUGAAGGUGGCCUGUGAGGGUUGCUGGAGGUAUCAGAAGUGCGAAUGCUGACAUAAGUAACGAUAAAGCGGGUGAAAAGCCCGCUCGCCGGAAGACCAAGGGUUCCUGUCCAACGUUAAUCGGGGCAGGGUGAGUCGACCCCUAAGGCGAGGCCGAAAGGCGUAGUCGAUGGGAAACGGGUUAAUAUUCCCGUACUUGGUGUUACUGCGAAGGGGGGACGGAGAAGGCUAUGUUGGCCGGGCGACGGUUGUCCCGGUUUAAGCGUGUAGGUGUGUGUUCCAGGUAAAUCCGGUUCACUUUAACACUGAGGCGUGAUGACGAGGCACUACGGUGCUGAAGCAACAAAUGCCCUGCUUCCAGGAAAAGCCUCUAAGCAUCAGGUAACAUCAAAUCGUACCCCAAACCGACACAGGUGGUCAGGUAGAGAAUACCAAGGCGCUUGAGAGAACUCGGGUGAAGGAACUAGGCAAAAUGGUGCCGUAACUUCGGGAGAAGGCACGCUGACACGUAGGUGAAGUGAUUUACUCACGGAGCUGAAGUCAGUCGAAGAUACCAGCUGGCUGCAACUGUUUAUUAAAAACACAGCACUGUGCAAACACGAAAGUGGACGUAUACGGUGUGACGCCUGCCCGGUGCCGGAAGGUUAAUUGAUGGGGUCAGCGCAAGCGAAGCUCCUGAUCGAAGCCCCGGUAAACGGCGGCCGUAACUAUAACGGUCCUAAGGUAGCGAAAUUCCUUGUCGGGUAAGUUCCGACCUGCACGAAUGGCGUAAUGAUGGCCAGGCUGUCUCCACCCGAGACUCAGUGAAAUUGAACUCGCUGUGAAGAUGCAGUGUACCCGCGGCAAGACGGAAAGACCCCGUGAACCUUUACUAUAGCUUGACACUGAACAUUGAGCCUUGAUGUGUAGGAUAGGUGGGAGGCUUUGAAGCGUGGACGCCAGUCUGCGUGGAGCCAACCUUGAAAUACCACCCUUUAAUGUUUGAUGUUCUAACGUGGACCCGUGAUCCGGGUUGCGGACAGUGUCUGGUGGGUAGUUUGACUGGGGCGGUCUCCUCCUAAAGAGUAACGGAGGAGCACGAAGGUUGGCUAAUCCUGGUCGGACAUCAGGAGGUUAGUGCAAUGGCAUAAGCCAGCUUGACUGCGAGCGUGACGGCGCGAGCAGGUGCGAAAGCAGGUCAUAGUGAUCCGGUGGUUCUGAAUGGAAGGGCCAUCGCUCAACGGAUAAAAGGUACUCCGGGGAUAACAGGCUGAUACCGCCCAAGAGUUCAUAUCGACGGCGGUGUUUGGCACCUCGAUGUCGGCUCAUCACAUCCUGGGGCUGAAGUAGGUCCCAAGGGUAUGGCUGUUCGCCAUUUAAAGUGGUACGCGAGCUGGGUUUAGAACGUCGUGAGACAGUUCGGUCCCUAUCUGCCGUGGGCGCUGGAGAACUGAGGGGGGCUGCUCCUAGUACGAGAGGACCGGAGUGGACGCAUCACUGGUGUUCGGGUUGUCAUGCCAAUGGCACUGCCCGGUAGCUAAAUGCGGAAGAGAUAAGUGCUGAAAGCAUCUAAGCACGAAACUUGCCCCGAGAUGAGUUCUCCCUGAGACUUAGAGUCUCCUGAAGGAACGUUGAAGACGACGACGUUGAUAGGCCGGGUGUGUAAGCGCAGCGAUGCGUUGAGCUAACCGGUACUAAUGAACCGUGAGGCUUAACCUUACAACGCCGAAG
This 3147-nucleotide ribosomal RNA is filed under the name Salmonella enterica subsp. enterica serovar Heidelberg. RNAcentral describes it as "23S ribosomal RNA". It matches the Rfam family "Bacterial large subunit ribosomal RNA". Lineage: Bacteria; Pseudomonadati; Pseudomonadota; Gammaproteobacteria; Enterobacterales; Enterobacteriaceae. The record is from RNAcentral.